AACUGAUACUACCUGCGGGAACCUGCGGAGGGAUCAUUACCGAGUUAGGGUAGUCACUCACUGCCCGACCUCCCAACCCUGUGUCUACCACACUUUGUCGUUGCUUCGGCGGACCGGUUGACCAACUGGUCGUGACCGCCGGGGGCUGGCUCUGUCCCCCCUGGAGAGCGUCCGUCGAUGGCCCAACCACAAAACUCUUGUACCGAAACGUGUCGUCUGAAUUAUAUUUGAGAAAUCAAA
RNAcentral lists this unclassified non-coding RNA (240 nucleotides) under soil metagenome. RNAcentral describes it as "partial contains 5.8S ribosomal RNA, internal transcribed spacer 2, and large subunit ribosomal RNA". The record is from RNAcentral.